AUCCGAAGACGUGAUGUGGAGCGAAAUAAAGUAGUGAAGCGUGUGAGCCAUGUGCCGAGAAAAGCUGCUAUUGUGUAAUGCGUGCCCGUACCGUAAACCGACACAGGUGGAUGAGGAGAGAAUCCUAAGGCCGGCGGAAGAAGCAUUGUUAAGGAAUUCGGCAAAAUGACCCCGUAACUUCGGGAGAAGGGGUGCCUGCGAGAGCAGGCCGCAGAGAAUAGGCUCAAGCAACUGUUUAGCAAAAACACAGGUCUAUGCGAAACCGAAAGGUGAAGUAUAUGGGCUGACGCCUGCCCGGUGCUGGAAGGUUAAGAGGAGAGGUUAGCUUCGGCGAAGCUUUGAAUUUAAGCCCCAGUAAACGGCGGCCGUAACGAUAACGGUCCUAAGGUAGCGAAAUUCCUUGUCGGGUAAGUUCCGACCCGCACGAAAGGCGUAAUGAUUUGAGCACUGUCUCGACAAUGCAUCCGGUGAAAUUGAAGUACCAGUGAAGAUGCUGGUUACCCGCGCCAGGACGGAAAGACCCCAUGGAGCUUUACUCCAGUUUGAUACUGGGAUUCGGUACUGCAUGUACAGGAUAGGUGGGAGACGAAGAAGGAUGGACGCCAGUCUGUCCGGAGUCGCUGUUGGGAUACCACCCCUGUAGUACUGGGUUUCUAACCAGUUGCCAUGAACUGGCAAUGGGACAAUGUCAGGCGGGGAGUUUGACUGGGGCGGUCGCCUCCGAAAGGGUAUCGGAGGCGCUCAAAGGUUCCCUCAGAAUGGUUGGAAACCAUUUGAAGAGUGCAAAGGCAGAAGGGAGCUUGACUGCGACACCGACGGGUGGAGCAGGUACGAAAGUAGGACUUAGUGAUCCGGUGGUAUAAAGUGGGAUUGCCAUCGCUCAACGGAUAAAAGCUACCCUGGGAUAACAGGCUUAUCACUCCCAAGAGUUCACAUCGACGGAGUGGUUUGGCACCUUGAUGUCGGCUCAUCGCAUCCUGGGGCUGUAGCAGGUCCCAAGGGUUGGGCUGUUCGCCCAUUAAAGCGGUACGCGACCUGGGUUCAGAACGUCGUGAGACAGUUCGGUCCCUAUCCGGCGCGGGCGGAGGAUAUUUGAGAGGAGCUGUCCUUAGUACGAGAGGACCGGGAUGGACGGACCACUGGUGUAUCUGUUGUCGACCAACGGCAUGGCAGAGUAGCCAAGUCUGGAAGGGAUAAACGCUGAAGGCAUCUAAGCGUGAAGCCCCCCUCAGGAUGAGAUAUCCCUCCUUCGGGAGUAAGACCCCUUGAAGACUACAAGGUAGAUAGGGCAGAGGUGGAAGCAUGGCAACAUGUGGAGCUGACUGUUACUAAUAGGUCGAGGGCUUAAUAA
This 1351-nucleotide ribosomal RNA is filed under the name metagenome. RNAcentral describes it as "bacterial LSU rRNA". It matches the Rfam family "Bacterial large subunit ribosomal RNA", at positions 1553 to 2925 of the family's 2925-position model. The record is from RNAcentral.